This is a non-coding RNA of Triticum urartu, 134 nucleotides long. The record is from Rfam. Lineage: Eukaryota; Viridiplantae; Streptophyta; Magnoliopsida; Poales; Poaceae.
AAUGUACUCCCUCCGUCCCAAAAUUCUUGUCUUAGAUUAGUCUAGAUACGGAUGUAUCUAAUACUAAAACGUGACUUGAUACAUCCGUAUUUAGACAAAUCUAAGACAAGAAUUUUGGGAUGGAGAAGUAUCUC